AAGACUCUACUUUCAGGGAUCAGUUCUUUAGUCUGGAACUAGAGGAUUGUGUUUCUACAGAGGUUGGUCUGGCUGUCCAUGAUGAUGAAUGAAGAUGUUUCCUUCAGAGCAGGAAGCUGGUGAGAAGAUGAGAAUCUUCUUCACUGAUGAAGACUGUUCAGUGUUUCUGGAUGUGACACUGAAGGAGGAAACAUUGUCUGAGUGGA
Molecule: non-coding RNA, 206 nt
Organism: Oryzias latipes (Japanese medaka)
Lineage: Eukaryota; Metazoa; Chordata; Actinopteri; Beloniformes; Adrianichthyidae
Source: Rfam